UCGACGAUGAAUCUUCUAGCUUGCUAGAAGUGGAUUAGUGGCGCACGGGUGAGUAAUGCAUAGGUUAUGUGCCCUUUAGUCUGGGAUAGCCACUGGAAACGGUGAUUAAUACUGGAUACUCCCUACGGGGGAAAGUUUUUCGCUAAAGGAUCAGCCUAUGUCCUAUCAGCUUGUUGGUGAGGUAAUGGCUCACCAAGGCUAUGACGGGUAUCCGGCCUGAGAGGGUGAUCGGACACACUGGAACUGAGACACGGUCCAGACUCCUACGGGAGGCAGCAGUAGGGAAUAUUGCUCAAUGGGGGAAACCCUGAAGCAGCAACGCCGCGUGGAGGAUGAAGGUUUUAGGAUUGUAAACUCCUUUUGUUAGAGAAGAUUAUGACGGUAUCUAACGAAUAAGCACCGGCUAACUCCGUGCCAGCAGCCGCGGUAAUACGGAGGGUGCAAGCGUUACUCGGAAUCACUGGGCGUAAAGAGUGCGUAGGCGGGGUAAUAAGUCAGAUGUGAAAUCCUGUAGCUUAACUACAGAACUGCAUUUGAAACUGUUACUCUGGAGUGUGGGAGAGGUAGGUGGAAUUCUUGGUGUAGGGGUAAAAUCCGUAGAGAUCAAGAGGAAUACUCAUUGCGAAGGCGACCUGCUGGAACAUUACUGACGCUGAUGCACGAAAGCGUGGGGAGCAAACAGGAUUAGAUACCCUGGUAGUCCACGCCCUAAACGAUGGAUGCUAGUUGUUGCCUUGCUUGUCAGGGCAGUAAUGCAGCUAACGCAUUAAGCAUCCCGCCUGGGGAGUACGGUCGCAAGAUUAAAACUCAAAGGAAUAGACGGGACCCGCACAAGCGGUGGAGCAUGUGGUUUAAUUCGAAGAUACGCGAAGAACCUUACCUAGGCUUGACAUUGAU
RNAcentral lists this ribosomal RNA (897 nucleotides) under uncultured bacterium. RNAcentral describes it as "bacterial SSU rRNA". It matches the Rfam family "Bacterial small subunit ribosomal RNA", at positions 62 to 991 of the family's 1533-position model. The record is from RNAcentral.